UGGGGAAUAUUGGACAAUGGGCGAAAGCCUGAUCCAGCAAUGCCGCGUGUGUGAAGAAGGCCUGCGGGUUGUAAAGCACUUUCAGUGGGGAAGAUUAUGACGGUACCCACAGAAGAAGCACCGGCUAACUCCGUGCCAGCAGCCGCGGUAAUACGGAGGGUGCGAGCGUUAAUCGGAAUUACUGGGCGUAAAGCGCGCGUAGGUGGCUACGUAAGUCGGAUGUGAAAGCCCCGGGCUUAACCUGGGAACUGCAUUCGAAACUGCGUGGCUAGAGUAUGGUAGAGGGAAGUGGAAUUCCGGGUGUAGCGGUGAAAUGCGUAGAUAUCCGGAGGAACACCAGUGGCGAAGGCGGCUUCCUGGACCAAUACUGACACUGAGGUGCGAAAGCGUGGGGAGCAAACAGGAUUAGAUACCCCCGUAGUCC
Molecule: ribosomal RNA, 424 nt
Filed under: uncultured prokaryote
Description: bacterial SSU rRNA
Rfam family: Bacterial small subunit ribosomal RNA
Source: RNAcentral